RNAcentral lists this ribosomal RNA (593 nucleotides) under Yamadazyma atlantica. RNAcentral describes it as "eukaryotic LSU rRNA". The stretch from base 200 to 353 matches the Rfam family "5.8S ribosomal RNA". Lineage: Eukaryota; Fungi; Ascomycota; Pichiomycetes; Serinales; Debaryomycetaceae. The record is from RNAcentral.
GGCCAGCGCUUAUUGCGCGGCGGGAAAUAAUCCUUACACACUGUGUUUUUUAUAUUCGUGAUAAAUUACUUUGGUUCUGGACCUAGAAAUAGGUUUUUGGGGCCAGAGGUUUACUACCAAAACUUCAAUUUUUUAAUUGAAUUGUUUAUUAUAUUUAUUUUGUCAAUUUGUUUGAUUAAUUUCAAAAAUAAUCUUCAAAAACUUUCAACAACGGAUCUCUUGGUUCUCGCAUCGAUGAAGAACGCAGCGAAAUGCGAUAAGUAAUAUGAAUUGCAGAUUUUCGUGAAUCAUCGAAUCUUUGAACGCACAUUGCGCCCUCUGGUAUUCCAUAGGGCAUGCCUGUUUGAGCGUCAUUUCUCUCUCAAACCCCCACGGGUUUGGUAUUGAGUGAUACUCUUAGUCAGACUAGGCGUUUGCUUGAAAAGUAAUGGCAUGAGCGUACUAGAUAGUGCGACUUGAUUUAUUCAAUGUAUUAGGUUUAUCCAACUCGUUGAACAGAUCGGACGUAAAUUUCUGGUAUUGAAAGGCUCGGGCCGUACAACGACCAAACAAGUUUGACCUCAAAUCAGGUAAGAAUACCCGCUGAACUUAAG